GACGAACGCUGGCGGCGUGCUUAACACAUGCAAGUCGAGCGGUAAGGCCCUUUCGGGGGUACACGAGCGGCGAACGGGUGAGUAACACGUGGGUGACCUGCCCUUAGCUCUGGGAUAAGCCUGGGAAACUGGGUCUAAUACCGGAUAUGACUCCAUGACGCAUGUUGUGGGGUGGAAAGCCUUGUGCGGCUAGGGAUGGGCCCGCGGCCUAUCAGCUUGUUGGUGGGGUGAUGGCCUACCAAGGCGACGACGGGUAGCCGGCCUGAGAGGGCGACCGGCCACACUGGGACUGAGACACGGCCCAGACUCCUACGGGAGGCAGCAGUGGGGAGUAUUGGACAAUGGGCGAAAGCCUGAUCCAGCAAUGCCGCGUGGGUGAAGAAGGUCUUCGGAUUGUAAAGCCCUUUCGGCGGGGGACGAUGAUGACGGUACCCGCAGAAGAAG
Molecule: ribosomal RNA, 444 nt
Filed under: uncultured bacterium
Lineage: Bacteria
Description: bacterial SSU rRNA
Rfam family: Bacterial small subunit ribosomal RNA
Source: RNAcentral